This 238-nucleotide unclassified non-coding RNA is filed under the name Hevea brasiliensis (rubber tree). Lineage: Eukaryota; Viridiplantae; Streptophyta; Magnoliopsida; Malpighiales; Euphorbiaceae. The record is from RNAcentral.
AAAAGAAUUAUUUGUACAUUGGUUUUUUUUUUUUUUUUAACUGUCACAAAAUUCCUUUUCUUCCUCAAGUAUAUACAACACCCUUGAACCUACUCUAUCGUGUAGGCUUAUUUACAGACGCUAGCGUACAUGAGAAAGAUAUGAUAUACAACAUCAAUGUACAACUUUAAAGACAACAAAUGAAAAAAACCAAUGUACAAAUAAUUCUUUUUUUGUAAGUGUAUGAUGAUUGAAAAAG